RNAcentral lists this long non-coding RNA (25310 nucleotides) under Populus trichocarpa (black cottonwood). RNAcentral's name for it is "long non-coding RNA (PTRI_LNC003570)". Lineage: Eukaryota; Viridiplantae; Streptophyta; Magnoliopsida; Malpighiales; Salicaceae. The record is from RNAcentral.
UGCUUGUUUCUCAGAAUCAAAACCUUUGUACAGAACUUCCUCAUAUCCCCAGCAGCCACAACAGCUUCAGCACUUCUCAAGUGAACCAAUUCCUGUACCCAAAUCAAAUUUCACAUCUUUCCCUCCUCCUGGUUGUUCGCCACACCACCUUAAUGUUGCUUCUCGUGCUGGUGGACUGCAGUCACACUUGUCUGCCCCGAAUCUGUCUCCUUUGUCAAACUCUAAUCUUCAUCUGGCUGGUUUACAGCAUGGGUUACAUUAUGGUGGAAAUCUGGCCCAGAUCACGUCUCCUGGCCUUUCUUUUAAUAACAGGCCACAAAAACAUUGGGUUAAUCAUGCUGGCUUAUUACAUGUAGAUCAGUCUAGGCUCUUACAGAGUAUACUGCAACAACAAUUAUCACAUCAAAAUGGCCUAUUGUCUUCCCAAUUAAUGUCACCACAGCAGCAAUUGCAACAGCAGAGACUGCACCCUUCAGUUCAACCAUCUUUGGCUCAUUUUGCAGCAAUGCAAUCUCAACUCUUUAAUGCACAUCCUUCAUCAUUACAUAUCAGGGAACAAAAACAUAAAUCAUCCCAAAGAAACCGGCGCUUUUCACAAGGCUCUGACACUAGUAGUCAGAAAAGUGAUGGUGGCUGGGUGCAAUUCCGAUCCAAGCAUAUGACAGCUGAUGAAAUCGAGAGUAUUCUGAAAAUGCAGCAUGCUGCUACUCAUAGCAAUGACCCAUAUAUAGACGAUUACUACCACCAAGCUUCUCUUGCCAAAAGAUCUACUGGGUCGAGAACUAAAAACAAUUUCUGCCCGUCUCACUUGAAGGAGCUACCUUCUCGAUCUCGUAACAGUGCAGACCAGCAUUCUCAUCUCCAUUUUGAUGCUCUCGGGAAGAUGCCCCUCCCUUCCAUACGGAGGCCUCAUCCCCUUCUUGAAGUUGAUCCUCCUGGUUCUGGUGAUGGAAACUCUGAACAAAUGUCUGAGAGGCCUUUGGAACAGGAACCUAUGCUUGCAGCUAGAAUCACCAUUGAAGAUAGCCUGUCUCUUCUUCUUGAUGUAGAUGAUAUUGACCGUUUCCUGCAGUGUAAUCAGCCCCAAGAUGGUGGGGCUCAGCUCAGGCGUAGGCGGCAGAACUUGCUUGAAGGAUUGGCAGCGUCACUUCAGCUUGUUGACCCACUUGGCCAAACUGGCAAAACUGCUGGACUUGCCUCAAAGGAUGACAUUGUGUUCCUGCGGUUAGUAUCACUUCCCAAGGGUCGAAAGCUCAUCUGCAAGUUUCUUCAGCUUCUGUAUCCCGGGAGUGAACUCACCCGUGUUGUCUGCAUGGCUAUUUUCCGUCACUUGAGGUUUUUGUUUGGUGGCAUUCCCUCAGAUACGGGAGCAGCUGACACAACUACAAAUCUCACAAAGACAGUUUCUGCAUGUGUAAGUGGCAUGGAUCUUCAUGCAUUGAGUGCUUGCCUUGUAGCCAUAGUUUGUUCUUCAGAGCAGCCACCAUUUCGGCCUCUUGGUAGCCCUGCUGGGGAUGGAGCCACAGUUAUUUUGAAGUGUCUUCUUGAAAGAGCUAGUAAACUAUUACAUGGUCCCCAGGCUUCUGCCAACUGUGGUAUGCCCAAUUUUGCUCUCUGGCAGGCAUCAUUUGAUGAAUUUUUUGAUCUUCUUAUGAAGUACUGCCUGAUUAAAUAUGACACUAUACUGCAAUCAGUCUAUGCAAAGACACCACCUAGCGCAGAAGGUAUUGAUUCAGAGGUGCGUGCAGCAACAAAACGAGAAAUGCCUGUUGAGCUUUUAAGAGCUUGCCUUCCUCAUACGAAUGAACGCCAGAUGGAACUUUUAAGACAUUUUGGGCAGCAACGCAAUACCAUUACUGGCCUGAGUGCACAUCCAGGGAAUAGUGGUCACAUAAACUCUGAAUCAGUGAGGAGUUGACCGAGGAAAGAAUUAAAGAUAUUGCAACUGGAUGGCCAAUCUGUUUACAUCAAUCUCUCGGCAAAUUUGGACAUGGAAAUGGAACUAAUGUGGUUUGGAGCUUGGAAGUGGCAUAGAUUCACCUUUAUUGAGUCAGGUUUUUUAAGGGUUCAUCUUUAUCUUUCUAAUAGUUUCCUUCAAAGGAUUAUCCAGGACUCUCAUCUUGUUAAGACUUAUAGUCAUAUGCAUAAAUGUGUAUUAUGGUGGAAGGAAAAUAUACAUGGGAGAUGGUGACUGGGAAGUCUUUUUAUCUUUUUUAUUCUUCCAAGGAGCUUUAUUUUGGUGCUCUAAGUCGUAAUUCCUGGCAAAAGUUAAAGCUUAGGGGAUAGAUUGUACAGGAUAAACUCUCCCUUUUCUUUUGAUCCCGCCUGUCCAUUGGAAGUGAAGAGAGUUGUCAUGGUGUCCAGUGUUCAGGACCAUCAAGCGGGAUGCACUUGCUGGAGAAUGUUUCAGUCGGGCCUUACAUACAAAUUCUGUAAUGGGGUAUUCUGCUGUAACUGUAAUAAAUUGCGAAGGCAACGCAUAAGAAAUGUUCUGUUAGAUUAAGGGAACUGAAAGUCCUGAAUUAAAUGUAGUAAAUUUCUCUCGCACUUGCAGACAUUUCUUAAUAAUGGGGGAGGGGGGUUUAAGAGCCUAUGUUUCCCCUCCGUAACUUGUUUGCUCUAUGUUAGGCAUGUGCAUGUUUAAACAGAAAUUUGAACCUUCGACCUGGAGAUUUUACGUUUUUACCUAGCUGUAAGACCACAAAAGAAAGGACAAGUCUUGUCUUCCUAUAUAGUAACUUCUUUAAUGGGAAACCUCUCCUGGUAUACAAGGUUCCUGUCUUGACUGGCAACUCUUCCAUCUUUUUCUCUGAUUAGAUUUUAUUUUGUGAAUUUUGAGGUAUUUGGAUUGACAUCCCUUUUUUCAGGUUUUGAUAAAUGGAUUAUAAUUUUCCUAAUAUGUAUUGGGAGUAGCAUUACUCAUUAAUUUUUACCAGUAUCAUGCAUGGCCAAGGAAAAUCAUUAUAAUAGUUCUUUCCUCAGCAAACUGAACUAAGAACUUCUUUGGACUGUUCAGGAGCUAAAAUUACUAGUGGAGAAGAAGAUAUUAAAUUUCCUUCUCUAUUCUUUGCGAAAAGUGAUGCAUUUCCUCUCAGAAGUCGCCUGUAUAUAGUUUUCUGAAGAAUCAAUUGAAGUGGUCGUCCUCCAUGGUUCAUGAGAUGCAUGAUACAGGGGUCUAGGGGAUGCAUUUCCCCUCAAAAGUUGUCUGUAGUUUUCUGAAGAAUCAAUGGGAGUGGUCCUCCAUGUCUAGGGGAUGCAUUUCCCCUCAAAAGUUGUCUGUUGUUUUCUGAAGAAUCAAUUGAAGUGGUCCUCCAUGGUUCCUGCUCAUCUCAAUCAAUGAGCUGUUAUUCAACUGAUUUUAAUUUCAUUUCCUCUUUUUUUUUUUUUAUAUAUAUUUGUAUUAUUAUGUGAUUAAUUGUGUUUGAAAAUUUCCACUGCAGAACUUUUUACUUUAUUACAUUUCAAAAGAAAAGAAUAAAAACAUUUGUGGUCUCAGUAGAACUACUGCUCGAAAACACCAGAGAUUGUGGUCUCAAUAGCUCUGCUCCAAAACACCAGACUCUCCACUAUUCUCCGUUGCUCCUGAUUUGCUAAAGCUAUGGCUGAUAAGCCCCAUGCAGUUCUUAUCCCACUUCCAUUUCAAAGCCAUAUAAAAUCUAUGCUAAAACUAGCCAAACUACUUCAUCACAGAGGUUUUCACAUAACCUUUGUCAAUACUGAAUAUAACCAUAGACGCUUACUUAAAUCUAGAGGUCCUAAUUCCCUCAACGGUUUGCUUGAUUUUCGAUUUGAAAACAUUCCAGAUGGGCUCCCUCAUUCGGAUAUUGAUGCUUCAAUUCCCAAGAUAUCCUUGCACUUUUUGAGGCUGUCAAGAACAACUUAAUGGCUCCAUUCAGUGACCUACUUAACAAGCUCAAUGAGACAGCCACUUCUAAUGUGCCCCCAGUAACAUGCAUCGUGUCGGAUUCCUUGCCAUUCACUAUCGCAGCUGCUGAAGAGCGAGGAAUACCUAUUGCACUAUUUGAAACUGUCUCUGCUUGUUGCUUCAUGUGCUUCAAACAACUUCGUCCACUCAAAGAAAAAGGUCUUACACCAAUUAAAGGUAUGAAGGUCCACUGUUUAUCACCAUUUCGGGGUUGUUAAUAUCUGGAUUGCAAUUUAGUAACAAAAGAUAAAGCUAAAUGUAAUUUUGAAGAGAAUGAUAUCUUCUUGUUUUAUUUCAGAGUAAGUAGAAUUUAUAAUUUAUACUGAUGGUUUAACAUCAAGAUUCUAUAUUAUUGCCUGUGAGCAAGCCUAAUUAUCUAUGAAUAAGGAAACAAAUAAUUAAAGAUUCAAUUACAGUAUUUGACUAAACUUGAUUUCCUAUUAUGUGAUUGAUUUCCUAUGCUGUGCUUGAUUUCCUUUAACACUCCCCCUCAAGUUGGAGUGUAUGUUAAUUACACCCAAGUUGCUAAGUAAAGUCUCUAACUGUGUAGAGCUUAAAGGCUUAGCAAGCAAGUCUGCCGGUUGGUGUGUAAUUUGAAUAUAGGCUGUCUGAAUCAUUCCUGCUUGAAUUUUCUCAAGUAUCAAAUGACAGUCUAUUUCUAUGUGCUUGGUUCGCUCAUGAAAGACGGGAUUCGAUGAUAUGUGCAUUGCUGCUUGAUUAUCACAGAACAAAGUUACUGGCUGUGUGUGAUUUAUCUGUAAGUCCUUCAAAAUGUUUUUCGGCCAUGUAAUUUCGCAGCAUGUAGUAGCCAUGGAGCGAUAUUCUGCCUUUGCACUUGAACGUGAUAUUGUUGUUUGUUUCUUGGUUCUCCAAGAAACUGGUGCCUCUCCAAGUAAAAUGCAGUAACUAGUAGCUGAUCUUUUCGUGUCCUUACAACGAGCCCAAUCAGCAUCACAAAAUGCUCGUAACUGAAGUGCACUUGUGGACGGCAACAUGAUGCCUUGCCCAGGUGUUUGUUUGAUAUAUUUGAGCACUUUAUAAGUUGUGUCUAGAUGGGGUUGCCGGGGCUUGUCCAUGAAUUGACUUAAGAUAUGCACAACAUAAGUCAAAUCCGGUCUAGUUAUAGUUAGGUAGAGUAACCUGCCAACUAACCUCCUGUAUGUUGAUCCAUCCUCCAAAAGCUUUCAAUCGGAUUGUGUUAGGGACACAUUUUGCUCCAAAGGAAACCCAGAUGGCUUGACACCCAAAAACCCCGUAUCAUCUAGAAUGUCGAGUGCGUAUUUUCUCUGUGACAGACUGAUGCCAUGUCGUGAUCUUGCAACCUCAAUGCCAAGAAAGUAUUUAAAUUGCCUUAAGUCUUUAAGUUUGAAUUGCUUGGACAAGAAAAGUUUGGUGUUCUCUAUAUCCUGGAAAUUAUUCCUAGCUAAUAUCACAUCAUCAACAUAUAUCAGUAAUGCUAAAAAGUUACCAUGAUGGCUUCAAAUGAAUAAGAAAUAAUCAGACAAAGACUAAUGGAAUACUGCAGCCUUGAGUGCACUGGACAACUUGAUAAACCACUGUCUAGAAGCUUGUUUUAAGCCAUACAGAGAUUUAUGAAGUUUGCAAACGAGUGUCUCCCUUUUUUGCUCGAAGCCAGGAGGCAAAGUCAUCUAACUGAUGUAAAUGCCAACCACACAAAGCUGCCACACUAAGUAAGAUGUGGACAAUGACCAUCUUGGCUACAGGAGCAAAGGUUUCCUGAUAAUCAACGCCUUCAACUUGGUUGUAGCCCUUAGCCACCAUCCAUGCCUUAUAUCGUUCCACUAUCCCAUCAGCCUUUAACUUGAUUAUGUAUACCCACUUGCAGCCGAUUGGCCGUUUGUGGGAUGACAAUGGUACCAAACUUUAAGUCCCAGUGGCCUGUAAAGAAACUAUCUCAUGGUGCAUGGCCUCAUUCCACCGAGGAUGUUGAACAGCCUGUGAAAAACUGGUGGGUUCUUUGAGGAGGGUGAGUUGAGCAGUAUAAGCCUUGUGAUGGGGAGAAAGGUGAGUGUAAGAUAAAUAAGUAGAGAGGGGAUAAGCAGUACCUGAAAUGUGAACCAUGUUCGUGGAGGAUGUUGGGUCAGGCUUUGAAGGGAGAGUCAUGGCGAGAUGAAAAUCUUGCAAGUAUGAAGGAGUGGUAAUAGAACGACUGCCAUAACGAAGGGGAGGAAUGGGCACAAGGGAGGAGUGGGCCUGUAUGGGAGAUAAAUCAGGUAGUUGAGGGAUAGGGGUGACUGGAGAUAAAGACUCUAUGAAGGGAGAUGAAGACUCUAUGAUGGGAGCCAGAGGGGUAUAUGAGCUGGUGGAAGGAGGUGUCUGGGAAUUGGGUGAGUUGGUGAGUGUAGGGCAGGUAAUUGGAGGAGGGGUGCAAAAUCUAUGUCGAAAGGUAAGGAUGGUGUGGGAGGCAAAAAUGAUGGGGCAUCAGGAUUAGUAUAUGAUGCAGGUGUAAGAAAAGGUAAUAUGGAUUCAAAGAAAACGACAUCCCUGAAGACUAUUAUUCUUUGUUUAGCUAGAUCAAAAACUCUAUACCCCUUUUUCCCAAAAGGAUAUCCAAGAAAGAUACACCGAGAUGCUCGAGGAUCAAAUUUGGAGUGACUUUGUGCAUGGGUGGAAACAAAACAUAAGCAACCAAUACUCGUAAGUGUGAGUCAUUGGGAACUGUGUUGAAUAGUUUUUCAUAUGGUGUUUUUCCGUGGAGAAUAGGGGUUGGUGUUUGAUUUAUGAGAUAAGCGGAAGCAAGAAUAGUGUCACCCCAAAAUUGAUUAGAAAGACCGGCCUGAAGAAGUAAGGCACGUGCCAUAUUUAACAAAUGCCUAUAUUUGUGUUCGGCAACGCUAUUUUGUUAUGGAGUAUUAAUGCAACUAGUUUGAUGAAUGAUACUUUUGUGAGCGUAAAAGCUUUCAAGUUUGAAUUCAAGACCAUUAUCACUACGAAUCAUUUUGACUUUGGAAUCAAAUUGAUUUUCAGCCAUGUUGAUGAAGUUGACUAGAAGAUCCCUAGUAUCGGAUUUGUGUUUCAUAAGGUAAAUCCAUGUGCAUCUAGUGUGAUCAUCAACGAUAGUAAGAAAAUAUUUGGCACCUAAAAUAGAAGAAACUUUAUAACCACCCCAAAUGUCAACAUGGAUAAAAUCAAACAGAGAUAUAGUAGUAAUGAAACUUGAAGAAAAUGGAAGUCUUAUUUGUUUUGCUAAUGGACAAAUCAAGCACUUGUCGUUAGAACAAGAAUUAACUUUAGGAAAUAAUAGAGAGACUUUGGUUGAGAGAUGCCCAAGACGUUGAUGUCAAAGGUUCGGGUUGGAAGUUUUGGCAUGGUUGCAUGUUCCUUUCUUGGCUUGGUCGAGAAAAUAGAGACCCUUCAUUUCAAUUCCCGUCCCAAUCAUCUUCCCCGGAUGUAGGUCCUAAAUCACACAAAAUUGGCUUAGAAAAAUGGUUAUGCAAGAAGAAUCAAAUGCUAGUUUGCUAAUGGAAAUUAAAUUCAAUUGGAAAUAUGGGACACACAAAACAUUAUCAAGGAUCAAAUCAGGAGAUAGAUGAACUCUGCCUAUGUGAGUUACUUGUGCUAUUGAUCCAUUUGGUAAUUCAACAGUGCAGCCAUUAACCAGUCUUGAGUAUGCGAGCAGAUUUUGAUCAUAAAUCAUAUUAUCCAUGCACCCACUAUCCAAGCAUUUUUAUGUUUGUAAUCCAAGCACACAAGAAUUUGUGAAAGUACUUUCUUACUUCCAAUUCUUUAACAAAAAGUAGUUACGGAGUCUCAAUAGUUGGAUGAAGAUCUGUUACAAUUGAAACACAUGAAAAGCCUAGAAGCAUAGUUUUGAAACCCGGCCCGGCCCGGCGGGUCGAGCCGGCCGACCCGGGUCUAAGCAAAAAACAGCCUGGGAAUUGGCCCGGUGAGACCCGGUUGACCAGGUGGGUCGACCCGGAACCCGGCCGACCCGGGUAAACCCGGCCGAGACCCGACCUUAUUUUAUAUAUAUAUAUGAACACAACGACGUCGUUUUUUUUCCUAAACACUCAAUUUAAUUGAAAGUCAUCGUCUCUCUCUGAUUGAAUGUCAUUGUCUCUCUCUGUCUCUGACCCACAAUCUCAAAAUCUGUUCGUUUUUGGCGAUGAUAUCUGUUCAAAAUCUAAUCAAAGAAAGAAAAUACCCUUUCAUCUUUGCUUUUGCUAUCUUACUCGUUUCUGCCAGUAUCUUCUUAUACUCAAAUAAUUUUCAAUCUCUCACAUUCUCUCUCAGAGAUCUACAAAAAUCUAACCCCACAAUCUCAAAACCUUCUCAAAAAAUCCAAAUCCAAGGUGUUUGGUGCCUCUUCCUAAUGGGUAUUAAGUGUCAAUUCAGCGGCUGAAAAGCAGGGACAUGGUGAGAUUAUUUUGAUUAAUUCUUUUGGUAAGAUUUUGGUUUUAGUUAAUUUUCUUCCUUUUUAUUUCAGGUUUUAGUUGUUGGGCAAAAUUUGAAAGCUUAAUUUUAAGUGGAGGACUGAGGAUAACAGAAGAUUAUUCUGUUGGAUGGUUCACCUGAGAAUUCACUUGAGUUCAUCCAGGUCCAAAUUGCCAAUGUGGAAUCAAAAUUUGCCACUGCAAUUUUUGACUCUGGUGAGAUUAAAGUGGAGGGAAGAGUGAAAGACAGGAAGCCCCACCUCACCAAGGUAGAUUCAUUUGGUGUUGAUGUGAGCAUGGAAGGCAGCCUCAUACUUUGCAGUCAGGUUGAUCAACCAGGUAUGAUUGGCAGUGUGGGGAAUAUCCUUGGUGAGGAGAAUGUAAAUGUGAGUUUCAUGAGCGUUGGCAAGAUCGCUCCACAAAAACAAGCAGUAAUGACCAUUGGUGUGGAUGAAAAACCCAGCAAGGAAGCGCUAAAGAGGAUUGGGGAGAUACCAGCAGUUGAAGAAUUUGUGUUUCUUAAGUUGUAGGGCGCACAAUUCCGUCAUUCUUGAACCCUUUUUUUUGGGUUGACCCGGGUACCCGGGUCAACCCAUCUGACCCGUGACCUAAUCAUUAUACCGGGUUGAUCACCGGGUUGGGUUUUAAACCUAGAAGACACAUUUAUGAAUAGAUGGAAAAAGAGGUUUGGUCGUACAAAAUAUAUUUUGCGAAAACAUCAAUAACUUUUUGAUAUGAUCGUGAUCAAAUUUUACGAGGAGGUUGUAUAAGCACUUCACUAUAAUAGGUAAACUUACUGUGUCCACUAUAAAAUUAGGCCUAAAAGAUUUUUUUCUAAGUUUGUGUUUUUUUCUCAUUAAUUUUGAAUUAUAGCUUUUAUUUUUUUCUUGUUAUUUCUUUUCCUUUCUUGUUAAUAUCCGCUAUAAACAUAUUUGAGUUAUUAUCAUAAUUUUCUUGAGAGAUUUUUUAGAAGAUUAUACUUUGUUUGAGAAUAAACAGCUCUUUCUGGCUAGAGUUUAUAUCCAACCCUUUUUCAUGAAUUUGUAUCUUUGUGUUCUCUUGGUCAGAAUAAGUCUCAAGCAACAAUCUUGGUUAAGAUAAAAAAAGGACUGAGAAAAAGGAUCCACAUCCAAGAUCAAACGCAUCUCAUAUAAUGGAAAGCACAUAGAUUAUAUUAAAAUGAUGCAAGAGUCAAGAAGAAAAAGAAUUUAGAAACUCUUUCCAACAAAAUAAUGCGGAUUCGAACAAUCCCAGGACUCAAAAGAGAAUGAGAAAAUAUUGAGGCUCUUAUUAACAACACCAGAUCAAUUAACAAUUGACAUAUAGCACAAAAAGUACAUUGAAAAGUAUGAGUCAAUCUCGAGUGAGUCUUCUUGACCUUUCAUGACAGAGCACCUCGUUUAUCAGCUUGUCCAAAUUCAUGGAUGAGGAACCAUUUGGAGCUGUUGCCUCUUCUGCUAAUUUUUUCCACUCCAUGGACCUGCUCUUCAUUUUCUUACCUUUCUCUCCUUCCAUCAACUCUCUCACAAGCUUCUCCACAUUAUCUCUUUUCACAUUGCUAUCAAUCUCCAUUCCAAUCCCCCACUCAGUGCAUGUAUACCUACAAUUUGUUUGUUGAUCACCGAAGGAUGGCCAACAAAGCAUAGGCACCCCAGAAGAAAUGCUCUCAAUUGUGGAACCCCAUCCACAAUGAGUUAUAAAACCUCCAACUGAAGGGUGGCUGAGGACUUCUUCUUGUGGACACCAACUAGCAAUGAAGCCCCUCUCUUUAGUCUCUUUCAUAAACUCUGGUGGAAAAAUAGGCGAGUCCCCAAUGACCAUAUCAGGUCUUAUUGCCCAUAAAAAUAGAUGACCACUUUUAGCAAGUCCCAUUCCAAAUUCAAUGAACUGCUGCUUUGAGAUGACUGCUAUACUGCCAAAGUUCACAUAAAUUACUGAGUUUGGUUCCUUGGAGUCAAGCCAUUGCAGACACUCGGACUCUUCUUUCCACAGGUUACAUCCAAUGGACUUCAGAUCAUCUCCAGAAACUUGAUUGAGAAGCAACUGAAGUGGACCGAUUGGAAAGACACGUGAAUGCAUAGAGAAUAGAGCAUUCAAAACUUCUUGCUCCAAAGCAUCAAAAGUAUGCAAAAUAAUUGCAGAAGCUUUAGAAGCACUCUCAACUGCUUCCAUGGCGUUGUUAAAAAACCAACCAUUUGGAUCCGUACUUCGAGAGAACCUUGGAAUAUCUCUUAAACGUAGAUCCUUCAUUCCUGGAAUCCCGUCUAUGAUUCUGUCCGCGAAAUCAUUUGUUUGAAAGCUCUCGUCUGCAAACACAAAGAACAGUUGGAUGCAAAUUCGGAGGUAAUUUCAAUCUUCAAAAACCAAAGGGCAAUAAAAAGUUGAUUUCAUAUUCAUACCAUCUAAUGGCGCUAGGCCUUUCUUUUUUAAUGCACGAAAUUGCUUGGAGCACAUGAAGACACAUGCAGAUAUAGUAAAGAACAACGCAAUAGGUAUUCCUAGCAUUUCAGCAGCACUGAUAGCAAAUGGCAUCAUACCAUCAGAGACAAUACAAGUCACCGGGGGCACACCAGAAUAUGUUGUGUCAUGAAGCUUGGCAAGCAGGUCAUUAAAUGAAGCCAGUUGGUUUUUCUUAAAAUCUUCAGCAGAUGCAAGAGUAUCAGAAGGAGGGACGCUGUCCGGAAUGGUUUCAAAUCGAAAAUCAUGAAAGCCAUUAAGGGAAUCAGGACCUCUAGAAUUAAGCAGCAGUCUAUGAUUGAACUCAGUAUUGACAAAGGUUAUGUGAAACCCUUUGUGGUGAAGUAGUUUGGCUAAUUUUAGCAUUGAUUUUAUGUGGCUUUGAAGUUGGAGGGGGAUAAAAACUGCAUGAGGCUUGUCAGCCAUGGCUUACAUGCUAUGUUUCUUCUGUAGUGUCAUAUGAAUGCUAUUAUAUUAAUUUGUUAGGCUGUUGUCUAUGGUUAAGGACUUAAGGGUGUUAAAAGAACUAAUUCAACUUAAAAAUUUAACCUACCAAGUGAGGUCUAAAGAUAUUAUUUAUAUUAUUCUCUAAUACAUUCCCUUAAAUUAAAACCUUGUAUUUAAUUUUUUGAUUAAAUAAAUAGAAAUUGUGAGAUUUGAACUCAUGAUCGCAUGAUUAUCAAAACUUUAAUACCAUAUCUAAGAACCAAUUCAACUUAAAAUUUUAAAUUUUUAAAUCAAAUUUAAAAAUAGAAUUUAUAUUAUUUUUUAAAAAGUAGAUAAAUUAGCCUUUGAAUUAGCGUUUGAAUCCAUAGUCAAUAUCUCUCUGGUGGAUAUUAUACCGAAUCCAAAACCUUACAGACGGUUUAUUUUUGGGUUUAUCUUAUUUAUAUUAAUCUCAUUUUUUUAACCCCAACCAUAUUGUUAUUGUAAAUUACUUUGUACUCAGUUUUAAUGUCAAAGAAACCGGGCAGCAGAAACCCGAUAUUCUCUUAUUGACAAAAAAUCUCCGGUAGGCCCGAAGUUGAACCUGAAGUUUGUACACACCUUCAAGUUUUCUUUCGAAAAGGGCUCAUAAUUGACCUCCUUUGCCAACAAGUCCAACCUGCAUCUGCACUCCUUCACGUGAUUUUUUAAUAUGUGAUGUUACAGUAGCUGUUAUUAUUUGUUGUUCUUUUUCAGCAUCGUCUCUCCCUUUUUUUUUUUUUUUUUUUUCACGUGAUUCCUCUGUAUUGCCAUAACUUUUUUUUUUUCACUUUUCCCUAUCAUCUCUCGUCUGCCAUGUCAUUAUCUUUUUUUUUUUUUUUUUUAUUCCUAGACAUGGAUCUUUUGGCUUUUUUUAAAGCCAUUAUAUCUGCAUGAAUUUGUUUAAGAUUGUUGAUUUUGUACAAAACAUUAAUGGAAGGAUGAAUUGGAAACGCAUAUAUAGAAUACAAAUGAAAUCUUAGCCUGCUAUAAUCUUCUCUAUAAGUAUCACCACACCUCUUAUGUGCACCAAUCAAUGCAAAGCCAAACAAUUUAGGCAAACAUCUCCUCAGCACAGACACCACAUUAAGCUCCAAAGGUAAUUAGAUGACAAGAAAAAUCAAAAGUUUGGAGUGUUGAUAGUGUGAUGAAUCCAAGAAAUCUGGAAACAGAUGUUCCAUUUAUUCCUAUCCUUAAUUUAUUUUUCUCCUGAUAAGCCAAAAUAUAUGAUUAGGAAAGCAGCCCAAGUGGACAUGAAACCACCUUGGCGGAAGAGUCUAGAGCAAACACCAGACAAUUCUUCAGAUGAAGACAACAUAAACCAGAGCAAAGUAAUUUAUUAAACCUUUGGCACAGUUCCCUUGAACGGACUCUCUUGUCCUUUGGAGAAGACUCCACACUCAACAGUAGCCAGCCAUAUUAUUUAGCAAUAAUUUAAAUUAGAAAAGCUUAAGAUAUCAUCAUGCAUGUUUAUAUGAACUAUUAUUAAACAAUGAAAUAUUUAGCUACCAAGGUAAAAUUUGCAGGUUAAAUUUGAUCAGUUCAAUAAUUAUAUCCAAAGUUAUGGAUGUUUUCGGCAUGCCGAUUACUUCACGAAACUCAGGUAUUUUCUCAGAUUUAACCCUGAUCUAUCGAUUCAGACUAUGGAUAUAUAUAACUUAGUUAUUAUAUAUCCAUAACCGACUAAGUAGACAUUGUUAUGUUAUCAAGAUUUAAUUACUUAUGCCUCAUCGUUUCAUAAAUUAAAUAAGUGGUCUCUUGAACGGGCACAAAUCCCUCGAACGGUCUCUCUUGUCCUUUGGUAAAAUUACUACAACAAGUACAGCAUUAUUUAGGAAAAACAAUCAACACACAACAUUAGCAAUGUAUGUAUGAAAUAUAACUAAGCAAUGCACCGACACUAAUGACCUUGGAAGCAAUACAUUUGUCUUGAGCUUUAAUUAUCUUUCAAAAAAGACACGGUUUUUAUUUCAUGACAAGAGCACUUCCAUCACCAACUUGUCUAGAUCGAUGGAUGAUGAACCACUGGGGCCAAUUGGCCUAUGGAUGACAUUUAAUCGCAGAAUACAUGAGAUAUUAAUUGGAAAUAUAUCCACCACAAUAACUUUAGGAAACAACAAAGGAAUAAAGGUGUCUCUCUGUCUUGUCUUGAGCUUCAAUUGUUUUCUUGUUAUACGUCAUAAGUUUGAUUUCUUGACAAGAGCACUUCCGUCACCAACUUGUCUAAAUUCAUGGAUGAUGAACCACUUGGACGAGUGGCCUCGAGAGCUAACCUCUUCCACUCCAUGGCUUUCUUCUUCAUUUUCUUACCUUGUUCUUGUUGGGCUAUUUCCAGAACUCAAACACACACAAUUUACGUGGUUCGGCAACUUGCCUACUCCACGGAGCUACUGGUUUGUAUUAAUGAAGCUUACAAACAAUACAAACAAAGGAGGAGGAGAUAAAACUCUCUCAACUCAACUCUACUCUCUCAAGUUCUCUCUAUUUUUCUCUGUUCUCUCUUCUCUCUGUGUUUCUCACGCUGCUCACUGUGUUCUUCAUACACACACAAACACAUCACAGGAGGGGUACAUUAAUAUACAAUUAAUGGGAGUGAGGGGGAGUCCUCCACCAUGUGCUAAGUGGGAGAUUAGGUAAUCCCACUUGCAUAUGGUGGGGCUUGCUUGUCUCCAAUAAUUAACAAUCUCCCACUUGGAGACAAACAAUGAAAUUAUCUUUUAUCCUUGAAGGCCAACUGAAGUUUUGCACAACUUCAGUUUAUCAAGUGUAACUCCUUUGGUUAACAUGUCAGCUGGAUUCUUGCUUCCACAGACCUUUUCUAGCAUUAGUUGCUCGUCAUCCAGCAGUUGUCGGAUGAAGUGAUAUUUGAUCUGAAUAUGCUUCGUCCUGGAGUGAAAUGCUGGAUUCUUGGCAAGGAAGAUUGCACUCUGACUGUCGCUAUACAAAGUACCUUUUCCAUUCAACUUGCCCAAUUCCUUCAGGAAACUCUGCAACCAUACUAUCUCUUUUGCAGAUUCUGAGACUGCAACAUAUUCAGCUUCUGUUGUUGAAAGAGCAACGAUCUUUUGCAAGGUAGAACUCCAGGAAACAGCAGUACCUCCUAGAGUAUAAACAUAUCCUGUAGUGCUCUUUCUGCUAUCAACAUCUCCUGCUAGAUCAGCAUCUACAAAACCUUCAAGUUUCAAACCACCAGCUGUGAAACUAAGACAAGUUUCCGAUGAACCUUUUAAGUACCUCAUGAUCCAUUUGACCGCCUCCCAAUGCUGCUUUCCAGGAUUGCUCAUAUAUCGGCUUACAACUCCCACUGCAUGGGCAAUGUCUGGUCUGGUACAGACCAUAGCAUACAUCAAGGAGCCGAUAGCUUAGGCGUAUGGAAUCUUAUCCAUGUAUCCACAUUCUUGCUCAGUUUUUGGUGACUGAUCUUUGCUGAGCUUGAAAUGAUUCCCCAGUGGUGUACUUACUGGUUUAGUAUUAUCCAUACUAAACCUGCUGAGAACCUUCUUGACAUACUCUGUUUGUGAAAGCUUUAGUACGCCUUUGUCUUUAUCUCUGAAGAUUCUCAUGCCAAGUAUUUGUUUAGCAGCUCCCAGAUCCUUCAUUUCAAACUGUUUUGACAACUGCUGUUUCAGCUUAUCAAUCUCCUCAAUGCUGGAUCCUGCAAUCAACAUAUCAUCUACAUAUAAUAGUAGAAUGAUGUAGGAGUUGUCAAAAUGUUUGACAUAGCAACAAUGAUCAGCUUGGCAUCUUGUAUACCCGGAACUGCACAUGAAGUUGUCAAACUUCUUGUACCACUGUCUUGGAGCUUGCUUCAAACCGUAUAGGCUUUUCUGUAGCUUGCAGACUUGAUUCUCCUUUCCUUGCAUUGCAAACCCCUCUGGCUGUUGCAUGUAAAUAUCUUCCUCCAAGUCACCAUGAAGGAAUGCUGUUUUUACAUCUAACUGUUCAAGAUGUAAAUUUUCUGCAGCUACUAUCCCCAGAACAACUCUGAUUGUUGUGAGCUUCACAACUGGAGAAAAUAUCUCAGAGUAGUCAAUGCCUUUCUUUUGUUGAAACCCUUUGACAACAAGUCUUGCCUUGAACCGUUUACUUCCGUCAUGCUCAGUCUUCACUCUGUAAACCCACUUGUUUUGUAAAGCCUUCUUUCCUUCAGGCAGUGUGGUUAGCUCCCAAGUCUUGUUCUUCAGCAACGAACUCAUCUCAUCCUUCAUGGCUAACUCCCACUUGCUUGAGUUUCCAUCUUGUAAGGAUUCUUCAUAAGUUAGCGGUUCACCACCAUCUGUCAACAAAAUGUAAUUCAGUAAAAGUGUGAACCGUUGCGGGGGCUUUAUCGUCCUCGAAGACCUGCGAACAGCUGGUUCAAUUUGCUCCGCUUCUUCUUGUGUAGUAGCGGGUACAGAUAUGCUUGAGUCUUCUUGUAAAGGCUCUUGAUUGUUGUUCUGCUCAGUAACAUCGGGAAGGCCUUCUAAUCUUAUGAAUUCAGAUCCUUGUGGACUUGUAUCUGAAUCAGCCUUAUCUGUUUCUGCACUUGAUCUGUCUUUGUACAGAACUUUCUCAUUGAAGAUCACGUUCCUGCUUCUGAUAAUCUUUCUAUUCUGAUCAUCCCAGAACCGAUAUCCAAAUUCUUCAUCUCCAUAACCAAUGAAGAAACAUUUCUUGGAUUUGGCUUCUAGCUUGUUGCGAGCAUCAGAAUCUAUAUGCACAUAGGAAACACACCCAAAGACCUUUAAAUGAGAGAGUUGUACCUCUUUUCCUCUCCAUACUUCCUCGGGCAAUCUGAACUCCAAAGGAACUGAUGGUCCACGGUUGAUCAAGUAAACUGCAGUAUGAACUGCAUCAGCCCAGAAUGUUUGAGGUAGCCCUGAAUGCAACCUCAUGCUUCUAGCUCGUUCAUUGAUGGUCCUGUUCAUCCGUUCAGCAACGGCAUUCUGUUGCGGUGUGCCUGGAACGGUCUUUUCCAUUCUGAUACCAUUGACAGCACAAUACUCCUUGAAACCUCCAUCAAUGUAUUCUCCUCCAUUAUCAGAUCUUAAGCAUUUCAACUUUAGACCUGAUUCAGUCUCAACCAUAGCCUUCCAUUUCUUGAAUGUUUCAAACACAUCAGAUUUAUUUUUCAGAAAGUAAACCCAUACCUUCCUGCUGAAAUCAUCAAUGAAAGUCACAUAAUACCGAGAACCUCCAAGAGAUGCUACUGGAGACGGUCCCCAUAAAUCUGUGUGUACCAGCUCUAGCUUUCUUGGUCUUAAGGUCCUGCCAGCCUUCAAGAAACUGAGCUUCUUCUGUUUUCCAAGAACACAGCUUUCACAAAUGUCUAGAUCGACAUUUUUUAAUUCUGCCAGCUUUCCCUUCGACUGAAGUAUCUUCAUCCCCUUUUGACUCAUAUGGCCGAGUCUACAGUGCCAUAGAUGUGCUUGAUUUUCUGCUUCAGUAGAGGCAAUAAUGUCUGCAAAUCUUGUGGUCAUAUACAGGGUGUCGGUUUUCUUUCCACGAGCCAAAACCAUUGCUCCCUUUGAUACCUUCCACAUACCUCCAGAAAAAAGGAUUGAAUGACCACUAUCAUCAAGUUGUCCGACCGAGAUCAGCUUCUUCUUUAGAUCAGGAACAUGCCUUACAUUUUGCAAGUUCCAUAUAGAUCCAUUCAUUGUCUUGAUUUGUACAUCUCCUAUACCCACAAUAUCCAAUGGUUGUCCAUCGGCCAGAUAGACUACACCGUGAUCUCCAGCAAUAUAGUUUUGCAUCAUUUCAUGGUGUGGUGUACAGUGAAAUGAAGCACCAGAAUCAAGAACCCAAUCAUCAACAGGACUAUGCACAGCAAGAAUCAAAGCAUCUUGUACCUCGUCUGUAGUGGCGUUUGCAGAGUCAGCUUCAGGUUUUUUCGGUUUUGUGCAAUUCCUCAUGAAAUGACCAGGUUUGCCACAAUUCCAACAUUCAACCUGCUUUCUGGGUCCGAACUUGCUUUUACUUCUGUAUCUUGAUUUGGAUCUGCCUCUGGAUAAGCCUCUAUCCUGUCUCCUCCCUCGAGUGUUAAUGUUGAGAGCUGAUCCUGAACUUGAACUUUCACCUGAGUCUUUCCUUCGCACUUCUUCAGCUAAAAUCAAGUCUCGGAUGUCAUCAUAUUUCAGUUUGGAUUUUCCAGCUGAAUUGCUCACGGCUGUCCUCAUGCCUUCCCAACUGCUUGGAAGUGAAGCUAGCAAGAUGAGUGCACGAAUCUCAUCAUCAAACUCAAUCUCAACAGAUGAUAAUUGAUUUGUGAUGGUAUUAAAGUUGUUGAGGUGUUGUGUCACAGAAGUGUUUUCGACCAUCUUCAAGUUGAACAACUUUUUCAUCAGGUGCACUUUAUUAUUUGCUGAUGGCUUCUCAUACAUCCCAGACAAGGCUUCCAUCAAUCUUGCAGUGGAUCUUUCUUUCGUAACAUUGUGAGCAACUCUUCUUGAUAAGGAUAACCGGACAAUGCCCAGAACUUGUCUAUCAAGAAGUAACCAAUCUUCUUCUUGCAUAUUUUCUGGUUUGCUCCCCAACAAGGGAAGAUGAAGUUUCUUCCCAUAUAGAUAAUCCUCAAUUUGCAUUUUCCAGUAUCCAAAAUCUGUCCCGUCAAAUUUUUCAAUUCCAGCUGCUUUUAUUUCAUCUGCCAUUUUUACUACUUCUCCGAUUCGAAUUUCCCAAAUCUGACCUUACAUAUGUGUCCGGAACAGCCGAAAACCUUGGAAAUGACACUGAGAUCACCCCAAUCGGACUUCGGAUGGCUCAGAUUUUAGCAAUCAAAGUUUUGGAUUAACGGACGGUGCAGAUGCAGCCGCGUGUCAGCCAGAGUACCGCCUGCGUCGCACCGGAUCAAAAACUCAGAAGCGGUUCUGAUGAAGCCACGUGUCCGCUGAUUAGGUCCUGCAUCACACCGUAUCAAAACUCAGUAACGGUUCUGAUGAAGCCACGUGGCAGCAGAUGAUGGCCUGAGUCGCACUGGAUCAAUACUCAAUAGUGGUCCUGAUUUAACCACGUGUCAACUGAUUGAAUCCUGCGUCGUACUGGAUCAAAACCCCUCAACGGUGAUGAUGUAGCCAUGUGUCAGAAUAUUAGCUUCUGCGACACAUCGGAACAAAACUCAGUCGGAUGACGUGGAAGGUGACGUGGCAGUUGACGCUGACGGCGACCGUACGGAUGUGAUGACGUGGCGGGUCAGCCCGACCCGUUUCGCAGAAGCCGGGCGAAGAUGGAGCGUGGCGCGCGUACGGAGCGUUGGUGCGCGUGGGCAGUCUGGACGUCGGAGCGUGGGGGCGCGUUCGGGCAUGCAGGACGUCGGUUCUUCGCCGGGUUUUCAACAGUGGAUUCGUCCGGUUGUCCUCUACACGAUGGUAUGUUCAAAAACACGUUUGGAGAACUUUGAUUUUUGAGUUUGGAUCAAACACCCUCUUUGUCAAGAACAAGCUCUGAUACCAGUUGUUGGGCUAUUUCCAGAACUCAAACACACACAAUUUACGUGGUUCGGCAACUUGCCUACUCCACGGAGCUACUGGUUUGUAUUAAUGAAGCUUACAAACAAUACAAACAAAGGAGGAGGAGAUAAAACUCUCUCAACUCAACUCUACUCUCUCAAGUUCUCUCUAUUUUUCUCUGUUCUCUCUUCUCUCUGUGUUUCUCACGCUGCUCACUGUGUUCUUCAUACACACACAAACACAUCACAGGAGGGGUACAUUAAUAUACAAUUAAUGGGAGUGAGGGGGAGUCCUCCACCAUGUGCUAAGUGGGAGAUUAGGUAAUCCCACUUGCACAUGGUGGGGCUUGCUUGUCUCCAAUAAUUAACAGUUCUCCUUCCAUCAACUCUCUCACUUGUUUUUCCACAUUUUCUCUCGUCACAUUGCUAUCAAUCUCCAUUCCAAUUGCCCACUCAUUGCAUGUAUACCGACAGUUUGUUUGCUGAUCACCGAAGGACGGCCAACAAAGCAUAGUCACGCCAGAAGAAAUGCUCUCAAUUGUGGAACCCCAACCACAAUGUGUUAGAAAACCUCCAAUAGAUGGGUGGUUGAGAACUUCCUCUUGUGGACACCAACUACAAAUAAAGCCCCUUUCUUUUGUUUCUUCAGUGAAUUCUGGUGGAAAUAUCGCGGAGUCGCCGGUGAUCAUGUCAGGUCGUAUUAUCCAUAAAAACGGGUGACCACUCUUAGAAAGUCCCAUUCCAAAUUCAACGAGCUGCUCUUUUGUAGCCACUGCUACGCUACCAAAAUUCACAUAAAUUACUGAGUUGGGUUUCUUGGAAUCAAGCCAUUGGAGACACUCAACUUCUUCUUUCCAUAGGUUACAAUCAAUAGAAUCCAGAUCAUCUUCUUGAAUUUGAUUGAGAAGUAAUUGAAGUGGACCGAUUGUGUAGACACGAGGAAACAUAGAGAAAAGGGAAGUCAGGACUUCUUGCUCCAAAGCAUCGAAAGUAUGGAAAAUGACUGCAGAACCUGAAGGAGAUCUCCCAACAGAUUCCAUGGAGAAGUUAAACAGACAGUCAUUUGGAUCUGUUGUGCGCAUAAAACUUGGAAGAUCCCUCAAUCGUAUAUCUUUCAUUCCUGGAAUCCAGUCUACUACUCUGUCUAGAUAGCCAUCUGUUAAAAAGCUCGCGUCUGCAAUUAAAAAUUGAAUGCAUGACUAAUUUUGUAAACGUUAGUGUUAAUUUGUGAACAUCAUGCUUGUAUAUGAGUAAAAUGACUCGAGAUAAAUUGAAAGAGAGCAAAAGUCAAUAGUUUGUGAUGAAAGGUUGUGCUGAAAGAGGCAGUAAUGAUGCGACGAGCACCAUCUCUACCAACUUUGCCAUAGUAUUUCAAAUAUAGUCACCGUUCUAAGAUCUUAUAACCAAUAAAAAGGAAAAACAAAGGAUACAAUUAUGUGGGCUAAAAAGGGAACAUGGAAAUACUCACAAUUAUGUGUACAUGGAUGAACAUGUACUCGAGCAUAUUACAAAGAAUUUAUAUUAAAAAAAAAGAACAUAGUUAAUUGGUCAAGAGAAACUUGAAUUCCUUGUCCGUACCUUUUAGUGGUGCAAGACCUUUUUCUUUGAGUGCUUGAAAUUGUUUAAACCCCAUGAAGCUGCAAGCGGAGAUAGUAAAGAACAACGCAAUAGGAAUUUCGCGAUUCGCUGCAGCAUCGAUAGCGACUGGCAUGAAACCAUCAGAGACGAUGCAAGUCACUGGCGGAACAUCAGGUGAUGCUGUGUCAUUCAGCUUGUCUAGCAGGUCAUUAAAUGGCGCCAACAAGUUCUUCCUGGCAGCUUCACAAAGUCCAGGCAAAUCUUGGGUGGCAUUCUCAUCCGAGGGAGGGAGGCCAUCAGGAAUGGAUUCGAACUGAAAGUCGGGCAAACCUUUCAGGGAAUCAGAUCCUCUAGAUUUAAGUAAGCGUUUAUGGUUAAACUCAGUAUUGACAAAGGUGAUGUGAAAACCUUUGUAAUGUAGUAGUUUUGCUAGUUUAAGCAUUGACUUUAUGUGGCUUUGAGCUGGGGCAGGGAGACAUACUGCAUGAGGCUUAUGAUCAGCUAAAAUUAUACAAGUCAUGCCUCGAGCUCGCUCUUUCUUUCUCUAUUUCCUCUGCUACUUGAGUUUCUGCUAUUCUAUGUUAAAGUGAACACACCCAUCACCGACUUAUAUCUAUCAAUUUUGAAGGAUAAAACACUGCUAAAUUAAACAUGGUUGACAAGGGAUUGUUUUGUUUAUUCUUGAUAUCGCAUGGAUUAAUUAAUUUUUCUUAUAAAAUUUUGUGAUUGAGUUAUAAUUAACCCUCAAUCUGUGGAACUUUUAAUAGUGACCAGUAUUGCAACAGAUGUUCUCUUAAUUUUGGAGUCAUUGUCUGAUCUUUAAUCUUGUCAAAUUAAUGCAAGGAAAUCUGAAACACACAUGUUUUGUUUAUUCCAAUCCUUAAAUUAUUUUCUCCUCAUGAGCCAAAAUAUGCGGACAAUAAGCCAAACUUGGCGGAAGAAUCAAAAGCAAACAGAUGAAGACAACUUAUAGAAACAAAAACCAGAGACAAAAUAAUUUAUUAAACCGUUGGCUUUACAGUGUUACAGUAGCCAGCCAUAAUAUUUAGCAAUAAUUUAUAUUAGAAAAGCCUAGGGUAUCGUAUACGUUUACAUGCAAUAUUAUUGAACAACCUAUCGACACUACUCGCCUUGAAAACAACACUUUGUUUAUAUGAAACUUUUUUUUUUAUUCCGUCAUGAAAGGACUUCCGUCACCAACGUGUCUACAUUCAUGGAUGAUGAACAACUGGGGCUAAUAGGCCAAUGGAUGAUAUUUAAUAAGUGUUUGGGGAUCCGGUUAAAUUAUGUUUUUUUUUUAAAUUUUAAAAAAAGUUAUUGAGAAUUAUUUUUUAUAUAUUUUCAAAUCAUUUUAAUGUAUUGAUGUUAAAGAUAACUUUUAAAAAAUAAAAAAAAAUUAUUUUGAUACAUUUCUAAGCAAAAAACAUUUUGAACUGCAACUAUUACCAUACUCUUAAACACAAGAUAGUGUUUUUCAGUGUAGUCAUAUUAUUUUUUAAAGUUUUUUUAUUUGAAAAUAUAUUAAAAUAAUACAUUUUUUAUUUUUUUAAAAUAUUUUAAUAUCAGCAAAUCAAAAUAAUCUAAAGCGGUGGGAUUGACAUAAUUGCAAACAUGCACACUGUGGUCUAACCUUUUUUUUAUAUAUUUUAAUUUUAAAUUAUUUUUUUAGUAUUUUUAAACUGUUUCUAUGUGUUGAUAUUAAAAAUAAAUUUUAAAAAAUAAAAAAAAUAUUAUUUUAAUGUAUUUUCAAAUAAAAAAAUAUUUUGAAAAAUAAUCUUUACUGUAUUUCCAAACAAGCCCGUUUAGAAAUGCGAAAGCUUUUACUUUCACGUGUUUUUUAAAAAUGUAUUUAGCUUGAAAAAAAUAUCAAAUUGUUAUUUUUUUUAGUGUUUUUUAUAAUUUUAUUGUGUUAAUAUUAAAAUAAUAAAAAAAUUAUUUUAAUAUAUUUUCAAAUAAAAAACUCUUUAAAAACCAUAAAGAGUAGAUCCAUGCAAGUUGUCUUUAUUAAUUAUUAAAAUGAUUGUGUCUGCUGUUUAUCCAUGUUAUUAGCUGUUAUGUGUGGCAUGAUAACUACACAAUUGCUCUGGACAGAAGGCAAUUCCUUAAAAAAAAAAAACAUAAAUAAUACAAAUGUCAAUUCUUUUUUUUUUUUAAUCAAAUGCCAUAAAGUAUACGUAUGUCCUUUCAUCCAACCUUACAGGUUAAGGGAUAUUAUAAUUUUUGUUAUGUUAUAAAUUAAAAUAAGUAAAUAGAGAAUUCAAAUGUAUAGUUAAAUCCCAAAAAUAUUAGUAUACUGAGUAAACUGAGCCAAAUGAAUGGCUUUAGAUAAAUUUAUUCCUUGCGUAGCAAUGGCUGCCAAGUUACCUUCCAUGCAGGGUGCCACUAGCAAAAUAGGGCUUGCGUUUAGCCAGCGUCACCGCCCUAUAAACAAAAGGGCUUUUCCCUUUUUAAUCAAGUGAUCGAUUGCGUGUAGCCAUAAAUUAGCCAGCAGUUUUACAGCUUCCAAGCUGGCUGUCUCCAAGACUCUCCAUCUCCAACAUCAGUGUUGUUGCUUCACGAAACUCAGGUAUCUUCUCAGACUUAACCCUGUUCCAUCGAUUCAGACUAUCCAUAUAACUUAGUUAUUAUAUAUAUAUAUAACCGACUAAUUAGACAUUGUUAUGUUAUCAAGAUUUAAUUACUUAUGCCUCGUCGUUUCAUAAAUUAAAUAAGUGGUCUCUUGAACGGGCACAAAUCCCUCGAACGGUCUCUCUUGUCCUUUGGUAAAAUUACUACAAGUACAGCAUUAUUUAGGAAAAACAAUCAACACACAACAUUGUUUGUUUUCGGAAUUGUAUUUUUUAUUGUAUUGAUUGAAUAUAAAUGAUACAAUUUAUAGGAUACAAACCUAUAUCAAAACAAGAAACUAAAUAUACAAGGAAAUCUAGAAACUAAUUACAUAAUCAAUUUUUCUAAUUCAAGAAACAAAUAUAGAAUCAUAUACCAACACAAUCCCUGAUUAGACAAGAUAAAAUCUCAACACUUCUUCUCAAAUUGAUGCAUAGAUGUUACACAUGCCCAACUUGUCUAAAAGCUUUGAAAACACUUGAUUUGAGACUGCUUUUGUAAGAAUGUCAGCCAAUUGAUCCUCACAUCGAAUCUUAGGCAACUCCACAAUUUAAAGUAACCAGAAGUAGUAGAUCACCUAUCAUCUAUACCUCAGUGAAUUUCAGUACAACUACUACACACAAGAUGUAGCACUCUUCCCCUUUCCAACCUUGCUUAAUUCAUCAAAAGCUAAUUUCUGUCUAUCAUCUCGGUUUGGAAAAAUAACUGAAAAACUCUGCCAAAUGAGUUCUAUGUAGCACAUGUAUGCAUUGAGGAGGUCAAAUGAGGAAGGCCAAGAUUCUCUAUGAACUGCCUCAGAGCUUAUGAACUGAACAUGCAUUUUCUGUUAGAUGAGUUUUGGUUUCUAAACCUGAAACUGCCAUCAUAAGCAUUUGCUGGUCUAACAUUAACUUUGAGAUGAGCAACAAUAAUCAAAUACUUCCCUUGAGCAGGUCAGGCCCAAGCUAGGGAAGUUAGGAUGAGCUCUUGUCAUUAUAUCACAUUAUUCUUCUAGGAUACUGCUCUCUAUAUUCUCUUCUACUAUUGUUUAUAAUCAUCUUGCCUCUGGUAUCUUUUCCAACCUGUUUGAGGGAUGCUUUCUAAUUUUUUUCGUUGGAUUGUGAAUUUGUUGUCCACCUACACAGUUGAACCGAGUUGUAACUGGACCCAUGAAUCCAGGAGUUAUUGGUGACAGAGGAUCUGGAUCCUUUUCGAGAGAAAGUGAGUUCAACUGUUACUUUUUGUUUACAUUAUCUUGUUGCACUAAAUCAAGAAGUUUACUAGACUUAUUAUUCUGUAAAUUUGCUUUCUGAGUGCUGAGCAUUUUAUACGACCAUGUGAAUGGGGAGGUUUGAUUCUCAUAUAAUUGUUGUCAGCUUAUUUGUGAGCCAAAAAGUAUUAUUGAAUAGAAAUGCUUUCAUUCUUUAUUGUCGGCUUGAAAGUGAAUUAUUACCUGAGUUUUCUUCUCCAUUUUAUUUAAUUUACGAAGCAUUUCAUGAUUGUCUUUCUGACUUUAUUGAGUUUUUUCUAUAAGCCUGAUAAUUUGUCAGAUAUUUUUAGCAGGAGUCCUUACAUAUGUAUGCAGGUCAGAAGUCAUUCCCAUCAAUAAGAUGGAGUGGCUUCUUGGCUAAACUUAAUUUAUUUAUUUUUUUGGUUUCUGCUAACCAUUUUGAGAUUGAUUUAGUCAGUCUCAUGAACUUCUGGUACAUCCAUCAUAUCACUUUGCGGCAAUUAGUAUGAACAAUUUUGCUGUGCCAGAUGGUUGCUUGUCCCCCGGUUUCUUAACUGAAAGAAGUAAUAAGAUAUUUUGGGUAUAUGCGCACUUCUCAUCACAUGCUGGCAACUAGUGCAAAUGAUUUCUGUGGUGUUUCCCAGUGUGCAAAAUAAGAUGUAGUUCCUAUAACUUUAUUUGAUGAUUAAUAUUGAUAUAUUUCCACUUUCUAUUAUACCAUAGUUAUUAGUUUGCAGUGUGGCAUAUAAUUUUUUUAGGUCAGUGUUACUUCAAUGGCGGUGUCUAAGUAUACCUUCUGCCAUGAUAUUUAAUAGCAUUUUCUUUUUCAGGCUCAUCUGCCACUGAUUGGGCACAAGAUGGAGAGUUUACGAGUUGGUUAGAUCAACAAAUGUUUAAUGCAGAAAAUUCUCAGGAUAGCAAGAGAUGGUCAUCACAGCCCCAACCUUCUUCUGCUUGUUUCUCAGAAUCAAAAACUUUGUACAGAACUUCCUCAUAUCCCCAGCAGCCACAACAGCUUCAGCACUUCUCAAGUGAACCAAUUCCUGUACCCAAAUCAAAUUUCGCAUCUUUCCCUCCUCCUGGUUGUUCGCCACACCACCUUAAUGUUGCUUCUCGUGCUGGUGGACUGCAGUCACACUUGUCUGCCCCGAAUCUGUCUCCUCUGUCCAACUCUAAUCUUCAUCUGGCUGGUUUACAGCAUGGGUUACAUUAUGGUGGAAAUCUGGCCCAGAUCACGUCUCCUGGCCU